CCAUCUGUGGGAUUCAAUUUACAUAAACUGAAGACUAUUCUUCUGAGUUGAAGUGAGGAGAGGCAUCAAUCACACUGGAAAAUUAUUUGAUCUCCUGGAAGCAAAAAGUCCACCAUGAAGUUGUUCUUGCCAUGGACUUCUAGAGGAGCUGACUGUCCUUUGGGAAGCUACAAAUACAGCCUUAAAAUCUGUUAGCAGGGAAGAGAGGCUUUUUCUGAGUGAUCAGGCACUGGGCCAUGUGCUAUAGGUACAGCCUCUGCCCCAAAGAGACU
RNAcentral lists this long non-coding RNA (272 nucleotides) under Homo sapiens (human). Its description in RNAcentral is "non-protein coding LINC01344:2". The record is from RNAcentral. Lineage: Eukaryota; Metazoa; Chordata; Mammalia; Primates; Hominidae.